RNAcentral lists this long non-coding RNA (1098 nucleotides) under Nicotiana benthamiana. RNAcentral describes it as "long non-coding RNA (NBEN_LNC002651)". The record is from RNAcentral. Lineage: Eukaryota; Viridiplantae; Streptophyta; Magnoliopsida; Solanales; Solanaceae.
UUAUCUGCCACAAGGCUAACUUCCCAGUCAUUACUAAAACAAUACCUGUAAUGACAAUUUCUGAAGCAACAACAUAUGUCCUGCCCGGCAUAGCAUAAAAAUGUGCCUAGCCACCGCUAGAUCGACCUCCUCCUCUUGGACGACCCAUAGCUGCCUAAUAUCCACCCUUAGCUGGCUGGCCGGGUGAUGAAGUAAUUGGUCAGAAGUCGAAGGUUGACCCCUCUCCCUACGCUGACUACUACAAAGUCGAGGGAACUGCCUCCUCAAGUGACCAAACUCUUCGCACUCAUAACAGCUACCCGGUGCUGGAGAUGGGGACUGAAGGGAACCCCUCACACGGGAGUGACUAGCAGAUGCACUCGGCACAGAAGAACCCUAAGUUGAUGGGUCAUGAGCUGGGAGGGCGCUGAGGGAAGACUGACCAUGCUGGGACCCAUGACGAACAGGGCUUGAAGAUCCCCCCACGAUACUCUGAAUGGGCCGAUUGAGAAGGCCUAAAAGAACGACCUCUACCAUGUUGAAACUGGCCCUUUAAAAGAGCUCCACUAUAACUGCCUGAUCCACGAGGCCUCUUGGCCUCCCUCUCCUCUUGCUCUCUACGGCAAACUGACUCGAUAUCACGAGCGAUAUCCACCACCUCCUCAAUCGUAGCACCCAAUGCUCUCUCUAGUCAUCAAAAUUCGGAGAUAAUGGUUAAGGCCAUCCACAAAUCUCCUGAUCCUCACACAAUCUGACAGAACCAUCUAACUAGCAUGAUGGGCUAACUGUGAAACCAUCUCGUACUGAGUCACUGUCAUAUCCCCGUGCGUCAACCACUCAAACUGCCUACACAACUCCUCUCUGCGGGAUUGAGGUACAUACUUCUCUAGGAAAAGAGCGGAGAAGUGCUUCCAAGAAAGAAGUGCUUCACCGACAGGCCUACGCCUCUCAAAGUCCUCCCACCAAGUAACAGUAGCCCCAGUAAACUGAAAGGCGGUAAAUGUCAUAGCGCUCAACUCAAGGAUCCGCUCUGUAUGGAGCAUACGCUGACACUUGUCAAGAAAACCCUUGGAAUCCUUGCUCUCAACAUCGUUGAAUAUUGGAAGCUGGAGCCUACCG